This 1297-nucleotide small RNA is filed under the name uncultured Pseudomonadota bacterium. RNAcentral describes it as "bacterial SSU rRNA". The stretch from base 1 to 489 matches the Rfam family "Bacterial small subunit ribosomal RNA", at positions 1045 to 1533 of the family's 1533-position model. Lineage: Bacteria; Pseudomonadati; Pseudomonadota. The record is from RNAcentral.
AUGGCUGUCGUCAGCUCGUGUCGUGAGAUGUUGGGUUAAGUCCCGUAACGAGCGCAACCCUUAUCCUUAGUUGCCGGCGAGUUAAGUCGGGAACUCUAAGGAGACUGCCGGUGACAAACCGGAGGAAGGCGGGGACGACGUCAAGUCAUCAUGGCCCUUACGGGUAGGGCUACACACGUGCUACAAUGGUUAGUACAGAGGGAUGCGAAGCGGCGACGCGGAGCGAAACCUAAAAAGCUAAUCGCAGUCCGGAUUGGAGUCUGCAACUCGACUCCAUGAAGUCGGAAUCGCUAGUAAUCGCGAAUCAGCAUGUCGCGGUGAAUACGUUCCCGGGCCUUGUACACACCGCCCGUCACACCAUGGGAGUGGGUUUCACCAGAAGCAGCUAGCCUAACCGCAAGGGGGGCGGUUGCCACGGUGAGAUUCAUGACUGGGGUGAAGUCGUAACAAGGUAGCCGUAUCGGAAGGUGCGGCUGGAUCACCUCCUUUCUAGAGAGCGCAUUAUGCUCAGUGCUCACACUUAUCGGUUGUAUUGAAGGCAAGCGCUGGGUUCGUGGCUCGUGGUUCGUGGCUCGUGGCUUGGGGCUCGUGGCUUGGGGCUGGCAGCUUUGGGUCUGGGGUCUGUAGCUCAGUUGGUUAGGGCACCGUCUUGAUAAGGCGGGGGUCGAUGGUUCGAACCCAUCCAGACCCACCAAUCGAGGGAGCCGACUGUAGCAAAGUCAGCCGGGGGUGUAGCUCAGUUGGGAGAGCGCGUGCUUUGCAAGCAUGAGGUCAUCGGUUCGAUCCCGUUCACCUCCACCAGUACUGUGUGCUCACCUGGGGGGAUGUGUGAGGCGGGAGUGGUUCGCAAAAGGUUCUAGCCAAAGAUCAUAGCCAAGCAAGUCCAAAGCGGGCUUAUUUGGCUCUGGUUUUUUGACCGGAGGAUGUGGCCAAUUUCGGUUGGUGCAUCGGCUGUUCUUUAACAAUCUGGAGAAGUAAAGUGUGACGGUUCGAUGUUUUGAGCCGGGGGCUGAGGUAUUGCCUCUGGUUUGGAUGCGAAUCGACACAGGGUAGUGAUUGUAUCGACUGGCUCUCGUUUCAGAAUUUGGGAUGGGGGCUGGCACAAGCGCGAGAAGUAUUCCUGUGACUGAGGGGCCUGGGUGAGUACCAGGGCUUAAGGUUAUAGGGUCAAGCGAAUAAGUGCAUGUGGUGGAUGCCUUGGCGAUCACAGGCGAUGAAGGAUGUAGUAGCUUGCGAAAAGUCGCGGGGAGCUAGCAAACGAGCUUUGAUCCGCGAAUAUCCGAAUGGGGAAACCCGG